Molecule: ribosomal RNA, 449 nt
Filed under: uncultured bacterium
Lineage: Bacteria
Description: partial 16S ribosomal RNA
Rfam family: Bacterial small subunit ribosomal RNA
Source: RNAcentral
AAUGAACGCUGGCGGCAGGCCUAACACAUGCAAGUCGAACGGAUCCUUCGGGAUUAGUGGCGGACGGGUGAGUAACGCGUGGGAACAUACCCUUUGGUACGGAAUAGCCUCGGGAAACUGGGAGUAAUACCGUAUGUGGUCGAGAGACGAAAGAUUUAUCGCCAAAGGAUUGGCCCGCGUUGGAUUAGGUAGUUGGUGGGGUAAUGGCUUACCAAGCAGACGAUCCAUAGCUGGUUUGAGAGGAUGAUUAGCCACACUGGGGCUGAGACACGGCCCAGACUCCUACGGGAGGCAGCAGUGGGGAAUCUUAGACAAUAGGGGAAACCCUGAUCUAGCCAUGCCGCGUGAUCGAUGAAGGCCUUAGGGUUGUAAAGAUCUUUCAGGUGGGAAGAUAAUGACUGUACCACCAGAAGAAGCCCCGGCUAACUCCGUGCCAGCCGCCGCGGUAA